This 81-nucleotide transfer RNA is filed under the name Rosa chinensis. RNAcentral's name for it is "tRNA RchiOBHm_Chr2g0146361". It matches the Rfam family "tRNA". Rfam says of the family: Transfer RNA (tRNA) molecules are approximately 80 nucleotides in length. Their secondary structure includes four short double-helical elements and three loops (D, anti-codon, and T loops). Further hydrogen bonds mediate the characteristic L-shaped molecular structure. tRNAs have two regions of fundamental functional importance: the anti-codon, which is responsible for specific mRNA codon recognition, and the 3' end, to which the tRNAs corresponding amino acid is attached (by aminoacyl-tRNA synthetases). tRNAs cope with the degeneracy of the genetic code in two manners: having more than one tRNA (with a specific anti-codon) for a particular amino acid; and 'wobble' base-pairing, i.e. permitting non-standard base-pairing at the 3rd anti-codon position. Lineage: Eukaryota; Viridiplantae; Streptophyta; Magnoliopsida; Rosales; Rosaceae. The record is from RNAcentral.
AUUUGUUGUAGUCUAGUUGGUUAGGAUAUUUAGUUCGCAUCCAAAAAGACCAGACCUGGGCUCAAGUCCCAGUGAUGGAAA